UUUUGUCUGAAACGGGAAAGAAACAAACAUCAUUUAAAUUAUUCGCUCUUAUACAGUAAAAAAAAAAAAAAAAAAGUUUGUGUCAAUUUCUCUCUAACAGAGUUUAUAUCUAGAAGGUCUAAGAGGGACCUAAUAUACUCUAUCAGAACAUUUUUACUGUGUAGAUGUGUAACCGUGAGCAAUCUUUAGAUGAAAAAGAUCAAAGCAAAAUGAUCUGGCCCACGUGACCCCCGUUCGAGUUAAUUGAGACACAAAAAACUAAACAUUUCUUUGCACAGCAAAUAAUAUGAUGAUCAUUUAAAGGCUGCUAUCACUGCCCAUGCGUGCAAAAAGUAGAUUGCUGAAGACAGUACACAAUGAGAAAUUAUAUUUUUAUAUACUGUAAGUGCACUCUAUGACACUUAAGUUUAUAUAAAUGCACUUAACGUUUCCAUAAUAAUACUACAAGAAUGUAGAACUAUAUGCACAAAGAGCGCAUGUUCACAAAGAGCAACCGCGCUUACCGUUUUCAUUUUUGCCGAAAUAUUUCCAGAUUUUAUCUGCCCUUUUAUCUGGCGUGUUCUCGUCUUCAGGAAGGUUCUUUUGAUCUUCACCGGAUAUCAUGUUGAAUAUUGACUAGGUGGAACACAAAAUAACAAAAGUUGUCAUUUUCAGCGACUAUAGCCUACGGUCACAAAAUGAAAACGUGAUUUUUAAAACGCGGCUAAUCACAAGCAAGUUUGCAACGAGAAGUCCUCCUGUUUUCUUCACGCCACUCGGUUGAACAAAUUACAUCGAGUAAGAUAAUGACGUCAUUUAUUGAAGGAAACCGCAGUUGGCCUACUACAGCAUUUGGACCGCUGGAAAUUAUUAGCCUAUUCGAAUACUGUCUACAUUGGCAUGCUUUUCCUUUGAAGAUUAUAGUUAACAAAUAUUAUCAAUCGUGUAGGCCUAUUUGCGGGGUACUACACCUCGGCAGGCAUAUUGGGUUUCUUGUAUUUAGGAUUUCAGUUUUCAAACGAGGGCGAACGCCCACUCCAGCUUCUGCAGGGUUUUCCCGGAGGUCGUGAGAUGCAGCGCCACGAUGUACUCCUUGAAGUCCAGCGUCCCGUCGCUGUUGGUGUCGAAGCUCCGGAAUACGUGGUGCGCGUAAGCAGUGGGGUCGGCGUCCGGGAAAAAGCUGGCGUAUAUUCCCUCGAACUGCUCCCUGCUGAUGCGACCGCUGGGGCAUUCCUUCAGGAAGCUCUGGUACCACGCGCACAGCUCGUCCUCGCUGUACUUCGUGUUGAGCUUCAGGUCCUCCAACAGUUCCUUGGACAGCGCGCCGCUCUUGCUGUUGCCCAUUUUUUUGUUUCGCUUGGCCUGGCAGUGAGAGUGAGUGUCGUCUCCACACAGUCGACAAGGACCCUGUUCCCUUAGGGCUCCCACAAAGGUGCUGGACUGGAUUAUGGAUAACUCUUUUAAAUCCAGACUGGCUUUCUUAAAGAUUAAGGGGAUCAGCACGUCACUCAAAGUUUGACAUCUUUUCCGAGGGCAUAGUGGGGAAGGGUCCAACAAGUGAGUCAGCUGGCAGCUCUUUUGAAAAUUGGUGGGUAUACCCCCAAAAUCGCUUGUUUUUUUUUUGGGGGGGGGGGGGGUUAAUUAUUCUGGAGACUCUGCUCAACAUAUGUAUUCAGUUUCUUAUAACUUGAUAAAGAAAACGAGCGUGUAGGCUUUAUAGUCUGUGUUUCGCGGAGUCGGCUCCUGUGCAAGUCACUCUAAAUAGCCUAUGUAUAGUUCUGGUGAUUAAACUGAACGUUAAACACA
Long non-coding RNA from Anguilla anguilla (European eel), 1785 nucleotides. RefSeq lists it as uncharacterized. Lineage: Eukaryota; Metazoa; Chordata; Actinopteri; Anguilliformes; Anguillidae. The transcript has 2 exons. The record is from RefSeq and is a predicted model, not a curated record.